GACGAACGCUGGCGGCGUGCCUAACACAUGCAAGUCGAACGGACAGGCCCUGAUUUUGGGCGGUGGUCGGGUGGAGACCGGGGGAGUAACACGUGAGUACCGUGUACCUGACUUAGGGAUAACUUCAGGAAAAAGGGGCUCAUACAGGGUAGGAGCUAUUGCUGCAUGGUGGGGGUUGGACAGAUUCGGCGGUUGGGGAUGGAAUGGCGGCUUAUCUGCUUGUUGGGGGGGUAGGGGGUGAGCAAGGCUAUGAGGGGUAGGCGGCCUGGGAGGGGGACCGGCCACAUUGGGCCUGGGAUGCGGCCCAGACUCCAACCGGACGCAGCGGUGGGGAAUAUUACACAAUGGGCGGAAGCCUGAUGCGACAGCGCCGCGUGCGGGAAAACGUCCUUCUGGUUGUAAACCACUGUCGCCUGAGACGAGGCGUUAUUGACGGUAAUGGGUAAAGAAGCACCGGCUAACUACGUG
Molecule: ribosomal RNA, 468 nt
Filed under: uncultured bacterium
Lineage: Bacteria
Description: partial 16S ribosomal RNA
Rfam family: Bacterial small subunit ribosomal RNA
Source: RNAcentral